This 497-nucleotide ribosomal RNA is filed under the name uncultured bacterium. Its description in RNAcentral is "partial 16S ribosomal RNA". It matches the Rfam family "Bacterial small subunit ribosomal RNA", at positions 28 to 507 of the family's 1533-position model. The record is from RNAcentral.
GACGAACGCUGGCGGCGUGCUUAACACAUGCAAGUCGAGCGAACGGACCAGGAUCUUGCUUCUCUGAUGUUAGCGGAGGUGGGGAGAGACACACGUGGAUCACCUACCUAUAUGACUGGGAUAAUUUCGGAAAACCGGCGCUUAUCGCGGAUAAUCUUCUGCAGCACGUUGGUCCAACGUGAGAUUCGGUCUUUGUGGCUGUUAUAGCUGGAUCCGGGCUGCAUUAGCUGGUUGUGAAGGUAACGGCUUACCAAGGCAAGGAUGCAUAGCCGACCUGAGAGGGUGAUCGCCCACACUGGAACUGAGACGCGGUCCAGGCUCCUACGGGAGGCAGCAGUAGGGAAUCGUCCGCAGUGGGCGGGAGCCUGACGGAGCAACGCCGCGUGAGUGAUGAAGGUCUUCGGAUCGGAAAACUCUGUUACGAGGGAAGAACAUAUGUGGAAGUAACUGUGCACAGCUUGACGGUACCUAAUCAGAAAGCCACGGCUAACUACGUG